RNAcentral lists this unclassified non-coding RNA (481 nucleotides) under Zea mays. RNAcentral describes it as "misc RNA Zm00001eb139310". The record is from RNAcentral. Lineage: Eukaryota; Viridiplantae; Streptophyta; Magnoliopsida; Poales; Poaceae.
CUCCAACGAUGAACACCAGUGGGAGCACGGACGACGACACAUGGAGCUUCGGCGAUCGACGCGACGCGAGCUCCGGACGGGUCGACAAGGGCCGACCGCGACGCCGCUGCGUUGGGCAGGGAGCCGCGCCGCGCACGGGGCUGCUGCGGCUAGGGCUGGCUGGGUCUGGCCGCCGUGCCACGCUGGCUGAGAGCCGUUGGCUGCGCGCCACGGGCCGCUGGCCGCGUUGGCUGGGAGCGCCGAGCUCGCGCGCGCUCGCGCAGGCUGGCCGCGCCGGGGGUGGAGCAGGGGCGGCUGGCCGGGCUGCACCGCCGGCCGUCGCGCCAUGGCCACCGGUCACUGCGCCGGUCUCGCAAGGUCCCCCAAUGGAACCGGCGAGGGAGAAACAAGGGAGAGAUGGGGGAAGAAGGUGGAAUAGUGCGGGCGUGGGGGCGCGCUUGGCGAACGAAGAAGUUCGGGAAGAUGAACAGUGGGCGACGCU